CCGAGCUUGCAGCAAUAUAGGACAAUGAUCCGAACCAACAGACGGAAGGGCAAAUGCUUCUGCAGAAGGGUAAAACAUCAACCAUUCCAGUGAACAAAAUACACGAUCCAGUUUCUCCUUUACUAGAGCAUCCCCUUCGCGAUUAUUGGACCAGGGAGAAAGGAAGUCAUUGAAAUCACCUAUACACAGCCACGGCAAGUGAUAUGCAUGGAAGAGUUCGUCCUAGGAUCAAGUGCAACAAAAUCAACACACUGAUCAUCCGAGUAUACCAAGGCUACCAUCGCCUUUAGGGCUUGAAUUGUCAGGGGAUUGCCCAACCCCUGACAAUUCCAACUGAGGAGCUUCAUUUGGA
This is a long non-coding RNA of Eucalyptus grandis, 352 nucleotides long. RefSeq lists it as uncharacterized. The transcript is spliced from 4 exons. Lineage: Eukaryota; Viridiplantae; Streptophyta; Magnoliopsida; Myrtales; Myrtaceae. The record is from RefSeq and is a predicted model, not a curated record.